AGUGUCUCUAGGAGGUGAACUACUGUAACAGUUCAGUGUGUUAUAGUGUCUCUAUCCUGUUGGUGAACUACUGUAACAGUACAGUGUGUUAUAGUGUCACUAGGAGGUGAAACACUGUAACAGUUCAGUGUGUUAUAGUGUCUCUAGGAGGUGAACUACUGUAACAGUUCAGUGUGUUAUAGUGUCUCUAUGCGGUGAACUACUGUAACAGUUCAGUGUGUUAUAGUGUCUCUAGGAGAUGUACUACUGUAACAGUUCAGUGUGUUCUAGUGUCUCUCUCUAUGUAGUGAACUACUGUAACAGUUCAGUGUGUUCUAGUGUCU
RNAcentral lists this long non-coding RNA (323 nucleotides) under Salmo salar (Atlantic salmon). RNAcentral's name for it is "lncRNA (ENSSSAG00000107478.1)". The record is from RNAcentral. Lineage: Eukaryota; Metazoa; Chordata; Actinopteri; Salmoniformes; Salmonidae.